RNAcentral lists this ribosomal RNA (2932 nucleotides) under Escherichia coli O22:H8. RNAcentral's name for it is "23S ribosomal RNA". It matches the Rfam family "Bacterial large subunit ribosomal RNA". The record is from RNAcentral. Lineage: Bacteria; Pseudomonadati; Pseudomonadota; Gammaproteobacteria; Enterobacterales; Enterobacteriaceae.
GGGUUGUGAGGUUAAGCGACUAAGCGUACACGGUGGAUGCCCUGGCAGUCAGAGGCGAUGAAGGACGUGCUAAUCUGCGAUAAGCGUCGGUAAGGUGAUAUGAACCGUUAUAACCGGCGAUUUCCGAAUGGGGAAACCCAGUGUGUUUCGACACACUAUCAUUAACUGAAUCCAUAGGUUAAUGAGGCGAACCGGGGGAACUGAAACAUCUAAGUACCCCGAGGAAAAGAAAUCAACCGAGAUUCCCCCAGUAGCGGCGAGCGAACGGGGAGCAGCCCAGAGCCUGAAUCAGUGUGUGUGUUAGUGGAAGCGUCUGGAAAGGCGCGCGAUACAGGGUGACAGCCCCGUACACAAAAAUGCACAUGCUGUGAGCUCGAUGAGUAGGGCGGGACACGUGGUAUCCUGUCUGAAUAUGGGGGGACCAUCCUCCAAGGCUAAAUACUCCUGACUGACCGAUAGUGAACCAGUACCGUGAGGGAAAGGCGAAAAGAACCCCGGCGAGGGGAGUGAAAAAGAACCUGAAACCGUGUACGUACAAGCAGUGGGAGCACAGAGCAAUCUGUGUGACUGCGUACCUUUUGUAUAAUGGGUCAGCGACUUAUAUUCUGUAGCAAGGUUAACCGAAUAGGGGAGCCGAAGGGAAACCGAGUCUUAACUGGGCGUUAAGUUGCAGGGUAUAGACCCGAAACCCGGUGAUCUAGCCAUGGGCAGGUUGAAGGUUGGGUAACACUAACUGGAGGACCGAACCGACUAAUGUUGAAAAAUUAGCGGAUGACUUGUGGCUGGGGGUGAAAGGCCAAUCAAACCGGGAGAUAGCUGGUUCUCCCCGAAAGCUAUUUAGGUAGCGCCUCGUGAAUUCAUCUCCGGGGGUAGAGCACUGUUUCGGCAAGGGGGUCAUCCCGACUUACCAACCCGAUGCAAACUGCGAAUACCGGAGAAUGUUAUCACGGGAGACACACGGCGGGUGCUAACGUCCGUCGUGAAGAGGGAAACAACCCAGACCGCCAGCUAAGGUCCCAAAGUCAUGGUUAAGUGGGAAACGAUGUGGGAAGGCCCAGACAGCCAGGAUGUUGGCUUAGAAGCAGCCAUCAUUUAAAGAAAGCGUAAUAGCUCACUGGUCGAGUCGGCCUGCGCGGAAGAUGUAACGGGGCUAAACCAUGCACCGAAGCUGCGGCAGCGACGCUUAUGCGUUGUUGGGUAGGGGAGCGUUCUGUAAGCCUGCGAAGGUGUGCUGUGAGGCAUGCUGGAGGUAUCAGAAGUGCGAAUGCUGACAUAAGUAACGAUAAAGCGGGUGAAAAGCCCGCUCGCCGGAAGACCAAGGGUUCCUGUCCAACGUUAAUCGGGGCAGGGUGAGUCGACCCCUAAGGCGAGGCCGAAAGGCGUAGUCGAUGGGAAACAGGUUAAUAUUCCUGUACUUGGUGUUACUGCGAAGGGGGGACGGAGAAGGCUAUGUUGGCCGGGCGACGGUUGUCCCGGUUUAAGCGUGUAGGCUGGUUUUCCAGGCAAAUCCGGAAAAUCAAGGCUGAGGCGUGAUGACGAGGCACUACGGUGCUGAAGCAACAAAUGCCCUGCUUCCAGGAAAAGCCUCUAAGCAUCAGGUAACAUCAAAUCGUACCCCAAACCGACACAGGUGGUCAGGUAGAGAAUACCAAGGCGCUUGAGAGAACUCGGGUGAAGGAACUAGGCAAAAUGGUGCCGUAACUUCGGGAGAAGGCACGCUGAUAUGUAGGUGAAGUCCCUCGCGGAUGGAGCUGAAAUCAGUCGAAGAUACCAGCUGGCUGCAACUGUUUAUUAAAAACACAGCACUGUGCAAACACGAAAGUGGACGUAUACGGUGUGACGCCUGCCCGGUGCCGGAAGGUUAAUUGAUGGGGUUAGCGCAAGCGAAGCUCUUGAUCGAAGCCCCGGUAAACGGCGGCCGUAACUAUAACGGUCCUAAGGUAGCGAAAUUCCUUGUCGGGUAAGUUCCGACCUGCACGAAUGGCGUAAUGAUGGCCAGGCUGUCUCCACCCGAGACUCAGUGAAAUUGAACUCGCUGUGAAGAUGCAGUGUACCCGCGGCAAGACGGAAAGACCCCGUGAACCUUUACUAUAGCUUGACACUGAACAUUGAGCCUUGAUGUGUAGGAUAGGUGGGAGGCUUUGAAGUGUGGACGCCAGUCUGCAUGGAGCCGACCUUGAAAUACCACCCUUUAAUGUUUGAUGUUCUAACGUUGACCCGUAAUCCGGGUUGCGGACAGUGUCUGGUGGGUAGUUUGACUGGGGCGGUCUCCUCCUAAAGAGUAACGGAGGAGCACGAAGGUUGGCUAAUCCUGGUCGGACAUCAGGAGGUUAGUGCAAUGGCAUAAGCCAGCUUGACUGCGAGCGUGACGGCGCGAGCAGGUGCGAAAGCAGGUCAUAGUGAUCCGGUGGUUCUGAAUGGAAGGGCCAUCGCUCAACGGAUAAAAGGUACUCCGGGGAUAACAGGCUGAUACCGCCCAAGAGUUCAUAUCGACGGCGGUGUUUGGCACCUCGAUGUCGGCUCAUCACAUCCUGGGGCUGAAGUAGGUCCCAAGGGUAUGGCUGUUCGCCAUUUAAAGUGGUACGCGAGCUGGGUUUAGAACGUCGUGAGACAGUUCGGUCCCUAUCUGCCGUGGGCGCUGGAGAACUGAGGGGGGCUGCUCCUAGUACGAGAGGACCGGAGUGGACGCAUCACUGGUGUUCGGGUUGUCAUGCCAAUGGCACUGCCCGGUAGCUAAAUGCGGAAGAGAUAAGUGCUGAAAGCAUCUAAGCACGAAACUUGCCCCGAGAUGAGUUCUCCCUGACUCCUUGAGAGUCCUGAAGGAACGUUGAAGACGACGACGUUGAUAGGCCGGGUGUGUAAGCGCAGCGAUGCGUUGAGCUAACCGGUACUAAUGAACCGUGAGGCUUAACCUUACAACGCCGAAGCUGUU